RNAcentral lists this long non-coding RNA (673 nucleotides) under Ananas comosus (pineapple). RNAcentral's name for it is "long non-coding RNA (ACOM_LNC004221)". The record is from RNAcentral. Lineage: Eukaryota; Viridiplantae; Streptophyta; Magnoliopsida; Poales; Bromeliaceae.
UCCCACUAAUAAGCCAAAUUAACUCCCACAUUUCCCAACCUUAAUUUGCUCCACCACUGUCUAAAACAAUUGAUUAAUAUUUCAAAUAUGUCACUAAUCUAGAGAAACGUUCUCGGAUAAGACACUACAAUAAAAACGGUCUAUAGCGACACUUUUAAACGUAGGUAUAUGUCAAAAAAAUGCUGCUAGCUAAAAUUACUGACACUUUUAAAAAGUGUUGCUAUAUGUGGGGUCGCUAGGUAUAUAGUGACAGUUAAAGAGUGUCGCUAUAACCUAAAAGAAUGCUGCUAAUUUACCAACACUUAUUUAAGCAUUUAGCAACCGCCGAAACUCUAUCUCGUUGGCUGCGGUGGCGGAGGAGAACGACAGUAAAGGCUUUUCGUCUAGAAUUUUAGUGAAUUGAGUGAAGAGAGAAGAAAAGACGGUAAUUGAUUUUUCUUUUUUUUUUUCUUUUCUAUUUGUAAUUUUGCCAAAUGGACGGGGUGUGGUGGGUUGAGUAGAGUAAUCUUUUAUUUUUGGUUGGAUUGGGCUUCAUAUUUAGGCAUUAGUAGAUGUGUUUUUAAGUUUUAGCAUAAAUAGGACACUUACUCAAAGUGUCCCAAACAUGUGUUCCUAUAACCUAAUUCUGUUGUAGUGAGAAAAGAAAAAUAAUACUUCCAACUUGCACGGAUCG